AAAAAAAAAAAAAAAAAAAAAAAAAAAAAAAAAGACUAAGGGGAGAUAAGAAAGGGAGUUUAGGCAAAAGGAAAUUAUAGUAAUGCAAAUUAGAGAUUUUGGUGGCCUAGAUGACAUGACAGUGGUGGCAGAGUGGAUCAAAGUAGAAAACAUAGAGAUGGAAAACUCUUGGUGGAUGGCAGUACCAUUAACAGAAAGGAAAGAAUGAGUGGCAUGAUAGAAACCCAUUUACCCUGAUGUGAUUAUUAUGCACUGUAUACCUGUAUCAACAUAUUUCAUGUACCCUAUAAAUGUAUAUACCUACUAUGUACCCACACACACAAUUUUAAUGAGCAUAAAUUUUUUAAAAAAUGAAUAGCUGGAAAGUGAAGAGGAGUACUAAAAAUUUUGUUUGGAGACAUUAAGCUUGAUAUAUGUGUGAGACAACAUUUAAGUGUACAGCACUUAGGUAUCUGUGACUUGAAAACAAUGGUUACUUUUUGGCUGAAGAAAAUAGAUUUGGGAGUUAUCACCAUGCAGUCGGUAUGCAGGGAGAGCUACAAGACUAAAGGACAUCACCUCGGAAGAAAACAUAGAAGAAAACAAGAUCCAAAACUGAGCCCUCAGUAUAAAACAUUCAGAAGUCAGCAGAGGAAGAUGAACACGCAAAACAAACUACAAAGUAACAGCCAGAGAGGGGGAAGAAAACAGCUGAGUGCAAUGUCACAGAAAUGGAGAGAGAAGAAUGUUUGCAGGGAGGUAACAGACAACUGAGCUGGAUGGUGCAAAGAGGUCCGGUAAACUAAGGACAUAAAAUGGCCACUGGAUCUGGUCAUCUUGUAUAGUUUGUUGGCAAUGUUGACAUGAGUUGUGGUGGUAAAGAAUGUGUGGGAGACAAGUAUGUGGAGAAUACCACCAGGUUAUACUUUAAUGCAAAUAUAAUCUUCUGCCAGUUCCUUAAAACCAGCCAAGAGCUACAUGCUGUAUUUGUUAUCCUUCCAGAUUAAAAGCAAAUCAAAUGCAGAUUCUCAAGUUUGACUUCUUCCCUAUACCGCAUAUUUAUGAUAUUAAAAACAAAGUUAAUUUUAGAUUAGUGAAUUUAUUCUCAUGAAUUUUUAUUCAAAAGCAAAAUAUAGGAAGAGGGGGAAAAUUUAAAAAAAAACAAAAUAUGUACGGUUCCAGAUGAUUUCCCAUCAUCCCUGACUGUGGAACAUUCAACGUAUUAUUCCUCGAGCUGCAUACCCACCCACAGCCACAACAUUCACACCUCACGGCUGCUCACGGACACCUCCAAGUAACAUUCCAAUGUUGCCCAAAGUGUAUCUGCAGAGGCUAUUUCCCUAACAAGAACCAAGCCCAACAGUUCUGUGGUCUCAAGCAAACAAGUCUAUGAAAUGGGGCACUCUGCAUUCUGCCUCCACUCCUACUCACCUGGAGUAUGCUCAUUAAAGGGGCUAAUGAGUCCUACACAAAAGAAUCUAAUUUUAUGAACCCUAGGAUUUCCCAAAUUGUCUUCACUACCCUUUUAUUUACAUGUAAUGCCUGUUAACCUUUAAAACCAACUGUGCAAAAGUGCUUUGGGAAACGCUGCUAUACAACUUAUCUUGAAAUUUUCCAUUUCUAGGACACUUUAGUUGUGUUCCUGAAGUUCUUCUAGAACAUUUAACAUAGGACAGAUAUUUCAUCUUGGAGAAUGUCAUUUGGAAGUGAAUUUAAAUUCACCUUUUAAAAAUUACUACAUUGUAAUCCCUAGUCUUCUUAAAAUUGACUGUUUUCAUUAUCCAACUGGUUACCAUUACUUUUCAGAAGACAUCUGUCACUUUAUACUUCCCAUUCUGUUGGCCUUUGUCAGUUUAUCAAAGUUGUAUUAAUAUAAAUACACAUUUAUAAUUGUCAGUGUGGGUAUAAAUCUGUGAGUUUUUAACUUACUAUUUUUAAUGCAUCUUUUCAGGUAUCAACAUAGUCCAUUAUUUAUUCUGACAGAAAUAUGAUAAAAUAUUGCAUAUAUAACUGUUCACUAUUUAGCAAUAGAACAUUUAGGUUGUUUCUAGUUUUUCGGCAUUUUAGAUACAACCAUGAUUCAUGCACUUUUUCCUUCAGGGAGUAAAAGGGAAACCCUCCUUUUUUAGUAUCAAUUUCACUUUAUUUAUAUACUAUUAUUCCCUCCUUAUGGGUAAUUAACACAGCUAAUAAAGCUAACCCGAUAAUAAUCCUGACAAGGUCACCACUAUUCCACUCUUUCUUUAUACACAAAAUGGGAUAACACAUUUUAUUUCACAGAGCUGUUGUGAAGAAAGGACUUAAAACGCUGCCUGACACAUAAUAAGCACUCUACCAUCUUCAUGUCCAGGGAAUGGCCAAAUUCAAUUAUUCUAUCCAUCACACUCAGCACGCUUCUAGUAACUUUUCUGGGCCCAAUGGCUGCAGGUGAAUAUAAAUGAGGGAGAAGUGUGGGGAGAAGCAAGUCUAUGGCUAAUUCAAGAGGAGCUGAGAUCCACUUCAGAAUUGACCAGAACACCUACUACUGAGGAAGAGUUAGGAUCCAGGCUGCAAGUUACCAUGAUCCAAGGUUGAGUCUGAUUGCUGGAAACCAUCAAAAUUCAUUCAGAGCCAAAUUCUGAGAAUAAGGAUGGCUCACACCUGUAAUACCAGCAUUGUGGGAGGCCAAG
Non-coding RNA from Macaca mulatta (Rhesus monkey), 2648 nucleotides. The record is from RefSeq and is a predicted model, not a curated record. NCBI's taxonomy places the organism in Eukaryota, Metazoa, Chordata, Mammalia, Primates, Cercopithecidae.